GUACGAAUACGAACCGUGAAA
This 21-nucleotide small nuclear RNA is filed under the name Arabidopsis thaliana (thale cress). Its description in RNAcentral is "snRNA_02001". Lineage: Eukaryota; Viridiplantae; Streptophyta; Magnoliopsida; Brassicales; Brassicaceae. The record is from RNAcentral.